Molecule: ribosomal RNA, 460 nt
Filed under: uncultured bacterium
Lineage: Bacteria
Description: partial 16S ribosomal RNA
Rfam family: Bacterial small subunit ribosomal RNA
Source: RNAcentral
CCUACGGGUGGCUGCAGUGAGGAAUAUUGGUCAAUGGGCGAGAGCCUGAACCAGCCAAGUCGCGUGAGGGAUGAAGGAUCUAUGGAUUGUAAACUUCUUUUGUAAGGGAAUAAAGUGAGGAACGUGUUCCUUUUUGUAUGUACCAUAUGAAUAAGCAUCGGCUAACUCCGUGCCAGCAGCCGCGGUAAUACGGAGGAUGCGAGCGUUGUCCGGAUUUAUUGGGUUUAAAGGGGGCGUAGGUGGCUCUUUAAGUCAGCUGGGAAAGUUUGGGGCUCAACCAUAAGAGUGCCGUUGAGACUGGGUGACGUGAGUACAGUUGAGGUAGGCGGAAUGCGUGGUGUAGCGGUGAAAUGCAUAGAUAUCACGCAGAACUCCGAUGGCGAAGGCAGCGUACUAAACUGUAACUGACACUGAGGCACGAAAGCGUGGGGAUCAAACAGGAUUAGAUACCCUUGUAGUC